CGCGAAGAACCUUACCAGGUCUUGACAUCCUUUGACCAUCCUAGAGAUAGGUGGUUCCCUUCGGGGACGCAGAGACAGGUGGUGCAUGGCUGUCGUCAGCUCGUGUCGUGAGAUGUUGGGUUAAGUCCCGCAACGAGCGCAACCCUUGUCUUUAGUUGCCAUCAUUAAGUUGGGCACUCUAGAGAGACUGCCGGUGACAAACCGGAGGAAGGUGGGGAUGACGUCAAGUCAUCAUGCCCCUUAUGACCUGGGCUACACACGUGCUACAAUGGACGGUACAACGAGAAGCGAACCUGCGAAGGCAAGCGGAUCUCUUAAAGCCGUUCUCAGUUCGGACUGUAGGCUGCAACUCGCCUACACGAAGCUGGAAUCGCUAGUAAUCGCGGAUCAGCACGCCGCGGUGAAUACGUUCCCGGGUCUUGUACACACC
RNAcentral lists this ribosomal RNA (430 nucleotides) under uncultured bacterium. RNAcentral describes it as "bacterial SSU rRNA". It matches the Rfam family "Bacterial small subunit ribosomal RNA", at positions 960 to 1391 of the family's 1533-position model. The record is from RNAcentral.